This 606-nucleotide ribosomal RNA is filed under the name Psychrobacillus sp. I14B-00944. RNAcentral's name for it is "bacterial SSU rRNA". It matches the Rfam family "Bacterial small subunit ribosomal RNA", at positions 95 to 687 of the family's 1533-position model. The record is from RNAcentral. Lineage: Bacteria; Bacillati; Bacillota; Bacilli; Caryophanales; Bacillaceae.
GCGGCGGACGGGUGAGUAACACGUGGGCAACCUGCCCUGUAGAUUGGGAUAACUCCGGGAAACCGGGGCUAAUACCGAAUAAUCCAUUUCCUCUCAUGGGGAGAUGUUAAAAGACGGUUUCGGCUGUCACUACAGGAUGGGCCCGCGGCGCAUUAGCUAGUUGGUGAGGUAACGGCUCACCAAGGCGACGAUGCGUAGCCGACCUGAGAGGGUGAUCGGCCACACUGGGACUGAGACACGGCCCAGACUCCUACGGGAGGCAGCAGUAGGGAAUCUUCCACAAUGGACGAAAGUCUGAUGGAGCAAUGCCGCGUGAGUGAAGAAGGUUUUCGGAUCGUAAAACUCUGUUGUGAGGGAAGAACAAGUACGAGAGUAACUGCUCGUACCUUGACGGUACCUCAUUAGAAAGCCACGGCUAACUACGUGCCAGCAGCCGCGGUAAUACGUAGGUGGCAAGCGUUGUCCGGAAUUAUUGGGCGUAAAGCGCGCGCAGGCGGUCCUUUAAGUCUGAUGUGAAAUCCCACGGCUCAACCGUGGAAGGUCAUUGGAAACUGGGGGACUUGAGUACAGAAGAGGAAAGCGGAAUUCCAAGUGUAGCGGUGAAAU